RNAcentral lists this ribosomal RNA (253 nucleotides) under uncultured bacterium. Its description in RNAcentral is "partial 16S ribosomal RNA". It matches the Rfam family "Bacterial small subunit ribosomal RNA", at positions 524 to 776 of the family's 1533-position model. The record is from RNAcentral.
UACGUAGGGGGCGAGCGUUGUCCGGAUUUACUGGGCGUAAAGCGCGUGUAGGUGGGGAAGCAAGUCCGGUGGGAAAGCCCGCGGCUCAACCGCGGAAGUUCGCUGGAAACUGCUACUCUUGAGGGUGAUAGAGGGAAGUGGAAUUGCUGGUGUAGCGGUGAAAUGCGUAGAUAUCUGGAGGAACACCGGUGGCGAAGGCGGCAUCCUGGACCGGUAUUGACGCUGAGGCGCGAAAGCUAGGGGAGCAAACGGG